UGUGGGGGCAUAGCUCAACGUCCUCCCGUUCUGUUCUCAGUUCAUCCCCAUGGACGGCAUCAACUUCCCCAAAUACCAGUCCAUCAUCUACCACCCCUCCCUCCUACCCCGCCACAGGGGAGCUUCCGCCAUUAAUUGCCGGGGCUGAACAAUCAAACGUACCACCAUCCCAGCCAGCACCCCCACCGCCGCCCGCCCCACUCAUCAUCAACCCCCGGAACCCGGGCAGCUCUGUGGACCCCCCACCUCAUGGAGCUCCUCGUUGGCGACGACUCAGGAUCAGGUUACCACCCCCCUGACUUUGCUCUGCUACUUUACAAAACGUGGAUUCAAAGAAACCAACAUGCGUGUUAUCUGUGGGGUAGAUCCCAAUGUCAGAUCUUCACUUGUAAAAAUACCUGUCUACAAGAAACAGAGAACAAAGAAUUGAAAUAAUACCAAUUAAAGAAUGCUUUAACUGAUAAUUCCGUGAAACUGAAAAAUGUAUAUAUGAACUUAUGUAUACCAGAUUGCCGAGGAUAUAGUUUAACUUCUGAAAUUUUAAUUCAUUGUGAUAUCAACUCAGUAUGAUUUAAAAUAAGAUAUUUGAAUAGAUUUCAAAUUGUGUUUUUCUGAAGUCAUGGAAUGC
This is an RNA transcript of Magallana angulata, 628 nucleotides long. RefSeq lists it as uncharacterized. NCBI's taxonomy places the organism in Eukaryota, Metazoa, Mollusca, Bivalvia, Ostreida, Ostreidae. The record is from RefSeq and is a predicted model, not a curated record. The transcript is spliced from 3 exons.